CCUACGGGUGGCAGCAGUGGGGAAUAUUGGACAAUGGGGGGAACCCUGAUCCAGCCAUGCCGCGUGUGUGAAGAAGGCCCUCGGGUUGUAAAGCACUUUCAGUGAGGAAGAACGCCUGGUGGUUAAUACCCAUCAGGAAAGACAUCACUCACAGAAGAAGCACCGGCUAACUCCGUGCCAGCAGCCGCGGUAAUACGGAGGGUGCGAGCGUUAAUCGGAAUUACUGGGCGUAAAGCGUGCGUAGGUGGCUUGAUAAGCCGGUUGUGAAAGCCCCGGGCUCAACCUGGGAACGGCAUCCGGAACUGUCAAGCUAGAGUGCAGGAGAGGAAGGUAGAAUUCCCGGUGUAGCGGUGAAAUGCGUAGAGAUCGGGAGGAAUACCAGUGGCGAAGGCGGCCUUCUGGACUGACACUGACACUGAGGUGCGAAAGCGUGGGUAGCAAACAGGAUUAGAUACCCCAGUAGUC
Molecule: ribosomal RNA, 465 nt
Filed under: Vreelandella stevensii
Lineage: Bacteria; Pseudomonadati; Pseudomonadota; Gammaproteobacteria; Oceanospirillales; Halomonadaceae
Description: partial 16S ribosomal RNA
Rfam family: Bacterial small subunit ribosomal RNA
Source: RNAcentral